Molecule: non-coding RNA, 69 nt
Organism: Podarcis lilfordi (Lilford's wall lizard)
Lineage: Eukaryota; Metazoa; Chordata; Lepidosauria; Squamata; Lacertidae
Source: the annotation of a GenBank genome assembly
GCUGUAGCUUAGUGGUAAAGCAUCCGCUUUGCAUGCAGAACAUUAUAGGUUCUAUUCCAGGCAUCUCCA